UUUAAUGUGGCAGAUCAAUGUAAUGAAUUUAAAAUUCAUCAAUGAAAUUUUUCCAUUAAAA
Molecule: transfer RNA, 61 nt
Filed under: Pristaulacus compressus
Lineage: Eukaryota; Metazoa; Arthropoda; Insecta; Hymenoptera; Aulacidae
Description: tRNA-Leu
Source: RNAcentral